UACGGGGGGGGCAAGCGUUGUUCGGAAUUACUGGGCGUAAAGGGCUCGUAGGUGGCCAACUAAGUCAGAUGUGAAAGUCAGGGGCUCAACCCUUGAAAGCCGGCCGAUACUGUCGGACUAGAGUCCGGAAGAGGCAAGUGGAAUUCCCGGUGUAGCGGUGAAAUGCGCAGAUAUCGGGAGGAACACCAAUGGCGAAGGCAGCUUGCUGGGACGGUACUGACGCUGAGGCGCGAAAGCGUGGGGAGCAAACAGG
Molecule: ribosomal RNA, 253 nt
Filed under: uncultured bacterium
Lineage: Bacteria
Description: partial 16S ribosomal RNA
Rfam family: Bacterial small subunit ribosomal RNA
Source: RNAcentral